GGUCCUCGGAUUCUACUUCGUGAUUCCUUAUAUAAGGAUCAAGUUUUUGACAUUGUAGUAGACGCCUUAAGAAAAUUUUGAAAGCUGAGUCCCGGGUUUCGUCAGUCCACAUCACAUUUUCUUCUGAGAAUGAAUGGCAAAACCACAAGGAAAAGGGUUUUCUACGGAGGAUAGGAAUGCAGUACCAUUGGACCAAUCGAAACUAUACAUGGUACAUGCUUCAAGUUUCACUGUCCGUGCCACAGUUUUGAUGACUUUUUGAUGGACAUGAAGCAGAACAAAAGGAAAA
Molecule: long non-coding RNA, 289 nt
Organism: Eucalyptus grandis
Lineage: Eukaryota; Viridiplantae; Streptophyta; Magnoliopsida; Myrtales; Myrtaceae
Exons: 3
Source: RefSeq, a predicted model, not a curated record